GUGCUCGCUUCAGCAGCACAUAUAUUAAAAUUGGAACGAUACGGAAAUUAGCAUGGCCCCUGCGCAAGGAUGACAUGCAAAUUUGUGAAUCGCUCCAUAUUUUU
This 104-nucleotide small nuclear RNA is filed under the name Erinaceus europaeus (western European hedgehog). The record is from RNAcentral. Lineage: Eukaryota; Metazoa; Chordata; Mammalia; Eulipotyphla; Erinaceidae.